UUCUGGUUGAUCCUGCCGGAGGCUACCGCUAUUGGAGUUCGAUUAAGCCAUGCGAGUCGAGAGUCUUAGGGACUCGGCGUACCGCUCAGUAACACGUGGGUAACCUGCCCUAUGCUGGGGAAUAACCUCGGGAAACUGAGAAUAAUACCCCAUAGUUCACCACGCCUGGAACGGUGGGUGGAUGAAAGCUCCGGCGGCAUAGGAUGGGCCUGCGACGUAUCAGGUUGUAGGGGGUGUAACGUACCCUCUUGCCAUCAACGCGUACGGGUGUUGGGAGACAUAGCCCGGAGAUGGAUUCUGAGACACGAAUCCAGACCCUACGGGGUGCAGCAGGCGCGAAAACUUGGCAAUGCGAGCAAUCGUGACCAGGGAACUCCAAGUGGCUGGGGUAAUACCCAGUUUUUUCUUGACUCUUCAAAGGUCUUGGAAUAAGGGGUGGGUAAGGACGGUGCCAGCCGCCGCAGUAAUACCGGCGCCUCAAGUGGUAGUCGCUUUUAUUGGGCCUAAAACGUCCGUAGCCGGUCUGGUGCAUUCGUGGGUAAAUCAACCCGCUCAACGGGUUGAAUUCUGCGAGCACGGCCAGACUUGGGACCGGGAGAGGUGUGGGGUACUCUCAGGGUAGGGGUAAAAUCCUGUCAUCCUGAGAGGACCACCUGUUGCGAAG
Molecule: ribosomal RNA, 664 nt
Filed under: uncultured Candidatus Poseidoniales archaeon
Lineage: Archaea; Methanobacteriati; Thermoplasmatota; Candidatus Poseidoniia; Candidatus Poseidoniales
Description: bacterial SSU rRNA
Rfam family: Archaeal small subunit ribosomal RNA
Source: RNAcentral